GAUGAAGAACGUAGCGAAAUGCGAUAAGUAGUGUGAAUUGCAGAAUUCAGUGAAUCAUCGAAUCUUUGAACGCACAUUGCGCCCCUUGGUAUCCCGAGGGGCAUGCCUGUUCGAGCGUCAUUUCACCACUCAAGCCUGGCUUGGUGUUGGGCGACGUCCUCUUUGGGGACGCGCCUCGAAACGCUCGGCGGCGUGGCACCGGCUUUAAGCGUAGCAGAAUCUUUCGCUUUGGAAGUCGGGGCCCCGUCUGCCGGAAGACCUGCUCGCAAGGUUGACCUCGGAUCAGGCAGGGAUACCCGCUGAACUUAAGCAUAUCAACAAGCGGAGGA
RNAcentral lists this unclassified non-coding RNA (329 nucleotides) under soil metagenome. RNAcentral's name for it is "partial contains 5.8S ribosomal RNA, internal transcribed spacer 2, and large subunit ribosomal RNA". The stretch from base 1 to 120 matches the Rfam family "5.8S ribosomal RNA", at positions 35 to 154 of the family's 154-position model. The record is from RNAcentral.